GUAAGAUAAUUGGUAAUUGAAACCUGUGGAAGAUGGCCAAAAUUUCUCACUUUCUGAUCAUUGCUCUUGUUUUCACUGUUGUGAUAAUGGUGGCUGAAACAGAAGCAUGUGAAAUGACAUUAUAUCCAACCAAUUGCAUUGUUCAGGACUGUCAAAACAAGUGCUUAGAAAAGAGCCCCACCUUUACAGGCCAAUGUCAGGGCUUUAAAUGUGUAUGUACUUGGCCCUGCGAUUGAUGAUUCCCCCUAAUAAUAAGCUUGUAUGUACUUUCUUGUAAGAAAGUAAAACAUACCUAUACUUAUUAAUAAAUAUUUUAAAUUAUGUUUUUUUAA
Molecule: long non-coding RNA, 332 nt
Organism: Gossypium raimondii (Peruvian cotton)
Lineage: Eukaryota; Viridiplantae; Streptophyta; Magnoliopsida; Malvales; Malvaceae
Exons: 2
Source: RefSeq, a predicted model, not a curated record